GAUGAACGCUGGCGGCGUGCCUAAUACAUGCAAGUCGAGCGAACGGACAAGAAGCUUGCUCCUUUAAGGUUAGCGGCGGACGGGUGGGUAACACGUGGAUAACCUACCUAUAAGACUGGGAUAACUUCGGGAAACCGUUGCUGAUACCGGAUAAUAUUUUGAACCGCAUGGUUCAAAAGUGAAAGACGGUUUUGCUGUCACUUUUAGAUGGAUCCGCGCUGCAUUAGCUAGUUGGUAAGGUAACGGCUUACCAAGGCAACGAUGCGUAGCCGACCUGAGAGGGUGAUCGGCCACACUGGAACUGAGACACGGUCCAGACUCCUACGGGAGGCAGCAGUAGGGAAUCUUCCGCAAUGGGCGAAAGCCUGACGGAGCAACGCCGCGUGAGUGAUGAAGGUCUUCGGAUCGUAAAACUCUGUUAUUAGGGAAGAACAUAUGUGUAAUUAACUGUGCACGUCCUGACGGUACCUAAUCAGAAAGCCACGGCUAACUACGUG
Molecule: ribosomal RNA, 497 nt
Filed under: uncultured bacterium
Lineage: Bacteria
Description: partial 16S ribosomal RNA
Rfam family: Bacterial small subunit ribosomal RNA
Source: RNAcentral